RNAcentral lists this ribosomal RNA (428 nucleotides) under uncultured bacterium. RNAcentral describes it as "bacterial SSU rRNA". It matches the Rfam family "Bacterial small subunit ribosomal RNA", at positions 355 to 774 of the family's 1533-position model. The record is from RNAcentral.
UGGGGAAUAUUGCGCAAUGGGCGAAAGCCUGACGCAGCGACGCCUCGUGAGGGAUGAAGGUCUUCGGAUCGUAAACCUCUGUCAAGAGGGAAGAAACCAUUGAAGUCGAACAGGCUUCUUUGCUGACGGUACCUCUAAAGGAAGCACCGGCUAACUCCGUGCCAGCAGCCGCGGUAAUACGGAGGGUGCAAGCGUUAAUCGGAAUCACUGGGCGUAGAGCGCUCGUAGGCGGCUUGGUCAGUCAGAUGUGAAAGCCCUCGGCUUAACCGGGGAACUGCAUUUGAUACUGCCAGGCCUGAGUGUCGGAGAGGGUGGCGGAAUUCCAGGUGUAGGAGUGAAUUCCGUAGAUAUCUGGAGGGACACCAGUGGCGAAGGCGGCCACCUGGACGACAACUGACGCUGAGGAGCGAAAGCGUGGGUAGCAAACA